AAGAGUCACCAACUACCUUUUUCAGAGUCUAGUCGUGUUGUGAAACAUCCUCUUGAGCUUGUGUUUUCUGAUGUAUGGGGUCAUGCCCAAACGUCUGUUAGUGGUCACAACUAUUAUGUCAGUUUCAUUGAUGCUUACAGUCGGUUUACUUGGCUAUAUCUUAUCAAGCGUAAAUCUGAUGUGUUUGAUGUUUUUGUUCAGUUCCAAGCACACGUUGAGCGUCUCCUUAAGCACAAAAUUAUUCAUGUUCAAUCCGACUGGGGGGGGGGGUUGAAUAUCACAACCUCAACUCGUUUUUUAACAAGCUUGGGAUCUCGCAUCGCGUAUCUUGUCCUCAUACACAUCAGCAAAACGGCACCGCUGAACGUAAGCAUCGUCAUCUUGUAG
RNAcentral lists this ribosomal RNA (387 nucleotides) under Triticum aestivum (bread wheat). RNAcentral's name for it is "partial small subunit ribosomal RNA". The record is from RNAcentral. Lineage: Eukaryota; Viridiplantae; Streptophyta; Magnoliopsida; Poales; Poaceae.